AUUGAACGCUGGCGGCAUGCCUUACACAUGCAAGUCGAACGGCAGCGGGGGAGAAGCUUGCUUUUCCUGCCGGCGAGUGGCGAACGGGUGAGUAAUACAUCGGAACGUGCCCUGUAGUGGGGGAUAACUAGUCGAAAGAUUAGCUAAUACCGCAUACGACCUGAGGGUGAAAGUGGGGGACCGCAAGGCCUCAUGCUAUAGGAGCGGCCGAUGCCUGAUUAGCUAGUUGGUGGGGUAAAGGCCUACCAAGGCGACGAUCAGUAGCUGGUCUGAGAGGACGAUCAGCCACACUGGAACUGGGCCACGGCCCAGACUCCUACGGGAGGCAGCAGUGGGGAAUUUUGGACAAUGGGCGAAAGCCUGAUCCAGCAAUGCCGCGUGUGUGAAGAAGGCCUUCGGGUUGUAAAGCACUUUUGUCCGGAAAGAAAUGGCUCUGGUUAAUACCUGGGGUCGAUGACGGUACCGGAAGAAUAAGGACCGGCUAACUACGUGCCAGCCGCCGCGGUAA
This 508-nucleotide ribosomal RNA is filed under the name uncultured bacterium. RNAcentral's name for it is "partial 16S ribosomal RNA". It matches the Rfam family "Bacterial small subunit ribosomal RNA", at positions 30 to 523 of the family's 1533-position model. The record is from RNAcentral.